GGAUUAGAUACCCUGGUAGUCCACGCCGUAAACGAUGAGUGCUAGAUAUCGGAAGAAUUUCUUUCGGUUUCGAAGCUAACGCAUUAAGCACUCCGCCUGGGGAGUACGGUCGCAAGAUUAAAACUCAAAGGAAUUGACGGGGGCUCGCACAAGCGGUGGAGCAUGCGGUUUAAUUCGAUGUUACGCGAAAAACCUUACCAACCCUUGACAUGGUGGUCGCGGGAAGCAGAGAUGCAUCCCUUCAGUUCGGCUGGACCACACACAGGUGUUGCAUGGCUGUCGUCAGCUCGUGCCG
RNAcentral lists this ribosomal RNA (295 nucleotides) under uncultured bacterium. RNAcentral describes it as "partial 16S ribosomal RNA". It matches the Rfam family "Bacterial small subunit ribosomal RNA", at positions 775 to 1067 of the family's 1533-position model. The record is from RNAcentral.